GAUGAAGAACGCAGCGAAAUGCGAUAAGUAAUGUGAAUUGCAGAAUUCAGUGAAUCAUCGAAUCUUUGAACGCACCUUGCGCCCUUUGGACUUCUGAAGGGCAUGCCUGUUUGAGUAUCAUGAACACCUCAACUCCUUAUGGUCUUCCAUGAUGAGCUUGGACUUUGGGGGUUUUGCUGGCCUACAGUCAGCUCCUCUAAAAUAAAUCAGCUUACCGGUGUUUGGUGGGUAUCAUGGGUGUGAUAACUAUCUACGCUCGUGGUUUUCCACCAGGUAACCUUCAGCAGUGGAGGUUCACUGGAGCUCAUAGAUGUCUCUCCUCAGCGAGGACAGCCCUUUGAAUGUUUGUUCUCAAAUCAGGUAGGACUACCCGCUGAACUUAAGCAUAUCAAUAAGCGGAGGA
RNAcentral lists this unclassified non-coding RNA (403 nucleotides) under soil metagenome. RNAcentral describes it as "partial contains 5.8S ribosomal RNA, internal transcribed spacer 2, and large subunit ribosomal RNA". The stretch from base 1 to 120 matches the Rfam family "5.8S ribosomal RNA", at positions 35 to 154 of the family's 154-position model. The record is from RNAcentral.